AUCAUUACAAUUAGAUAAUGCUAGCUACUAUACGAGGAUUGCAAAAAGAUUUUUCGAUGAGGAAUUAAAUUAAGAUUCGACUAGAAUUUUUUUGGAGUACAUACAUAAUACAAGUUCAAUUGGGCCUGCCACUGUCAUUAUCUAUAGUCAUGUAUAACGAUUCUCUUUCCUUAUACAUAAUGUGAAAUUAAAAUUGGAAGAAGAAAAUGACUAGAGGAAAUAGAGAUUUCAAUUGCUCAAAGUCAUCAAGCCACACAUUACCCAUCAACACACUAUUGUUUUUUUCUUCUUUUAAAUCGGCAAAUAUUAUUGAAAUCAAUUCUCUGCAAAGACGCAUAGAGGCGGUAAACAAACUACAAAGAUGCCGCAUAUAGACGUAACAUCCACACAAUAAAACACCAGAAAAACACUAAAAGCAAAACGGCGAAACUCCAAAUAGAGAAAACAGCCAAGAGACAAAAGUUAUGACACUAAAAUAUAAUUAACGCCACCAGAUUUCAGUUCCAUACACUAGUGGUUGUUAGACUUGACAAUUCAAAUUUCAAUGUAGAUUUUG
Molecule: long non-coding RNA, 556 nt
Filed under: Medicago truncatula (barrel medic)
Lineage: Eukaryota; Viridiplantae; Streptophyta; Magnoliopsida; Fabales; Fabaceae
Description: lncRNA gene24563
Source: RNAcentral